Molecule: ribosomal RNA, 451 nt
Filed under: uncultured bacterium
Lineage: Bacteria
Description: bacterial SSU rRNA
Rfam family: Bacterial small subunit ribosomal RNA
Source: RNAcentral
CAGCCAGACUCCUACGGGAGGCAGCAGUGGGGAAUAUUGGGCAAUGGGCGCAAGCCUGACCCAGCAACGCCGCGUGAAGGAAGAAGGCUUUCGGGUUGUAAACUUCUUUUGACAGGGAAGAGCAGAAGACGGUACCUGUCGAAUAAGCCACGGCUAACUACGUGCCAGCAGCCGCGGUAAUACGUAGGUGGCAAGCGUUGUCCGGAUUUAUUGGGUGUAAAGGGCGUGUAGGCGGGAAAGCAAGUCAGAUGUGAAAACUCAGGGCUCAACCCUGAGCCUGCAUUUGAAACUGUUUUUCUUGAGUGCUGGAGAGGCAAUCGGAAUUCCUAGUGUAGCGGUGAAAUGCGUAGAUAUUAGGAGGAACACCAGUGGCGAAGGCGGCCUGCUGGACGACAACUGACGGUGAGGCGCGAAAGCGUGGGGAGCAAACAGGAUUAGAUACCCUCGUACG